Molecule: ribosomal RNA, 451 nt
Filed under: uncultured bacterium
Lineage: Bacteria
Description: bacterial SSU rRNA
Rfam family: Bacterial small subunit ribosomal RNA
Source: RNAcentral
GGGUUAAGUCCCGCAACGAGCGCAACCCUUAUCAUUAGUUGCUACGCAAGGGCACUCUAAUGAGACUGCCGGUGACAAACCGGAGGAAGGUGGGGAUGACGUCAGGUCAUCAUGGCCCUUAUGGGUAGGGCUACACACGUCAUACAAUGGCCGGUACAGAGGGCUGCCAACCCGCGAGGGGGAGCUAAUCUCAGAAAACCGAUCGUAGUCCGGAUCGCAGUCUGCAACUCGACUGCGUGAAGUCGGAAUCGCUAGUAAUCGCGGAUCAGCUUGCCGCGGUGAAUACGUUCCCGGGUCUUGUACACACCGCCCGUCACACCAUGGGAGCGGGUUCUGCCAGAAGUAGUUAGCCUAACCGCAAGGAGGGCGAUUACCACGGCAGGGUUCGUGACUGGGGUGAAGUCGUAACAAGGUAGCCGUAUCGGAAGGUGCGGCUGGAUACGCCUCCUUU